Molecule: ribosomal RNA, 232 nt
Filed under: uncultured bacterium
Lineage: Bacteria
Description: partial 16S ribosomal RNA
Rfam family: Bacterial small subunit ribosomal RNA
Source: RNAcentral
CACGGGUGAGUAACACGUAUCCAACCUGCCGUCUACUCUUGGACAGCCUUCUGAAGGAAGAUUAAUACAAGAUGGCAUCAUGAGUCCGCAUGUUCACAUGAUUAAAGGUAUUCCGGUAGACGAUGGGGAUGCGUUCCAUUAGAUAGUAGGCGGGGUAACGGCCCACCUAGUCUUCGAUGGAUAGGGGUUCUGAGAGGAAGGUCCCCCACAUUGGAACUGAGACACGGACCAA